GUCAUUGAAAAUAAGAAUGUGUUCUUAACUGACUUGCCUAGUUAAAUUAACAUUAAAUCAACGUGUAAAAGGUGCCAUAAAAUACCAAUUUCCGAUUGUUAUGAAAACUUGAAAUCGGCCCCAAUUAAUCGGUCGACCUCUAGACGGUAGUGUUAUUGUUCUAAGAUUGUAGAGUGGUGUGAUGGAUGCAUGGAUGGAUGGAUAGGUGGUGGGAGUACAUUAGGAGAAGGAUUCCACACGUUGUUGUGGUAGAUAAGCUGUAUCAGUCACUGUCUGACAGUGGACAGGCUUUUUGCUGUAGUGUUGGUAGUGUAGGUUAGGACUAGUAACAGGGAUGUUGUAGUGUUAGUGUAUGUUAGGAGUAGUAACAGGGAUGUUGCCGUGGAGGUUAGGACUAGUAACAGGGAUGUUGUAGUGUUAGUGUAGGUUAGGACUAGUAACAGGGAUGUUGUGGUGUUGGUGGAGGUCAGGACUAGUAACAGGGAUGUUGUGGUGUUAGUGUAGGUUAGGACUAGUAACAGGGAUGUUGCAGUGUUGGUGGAGGUUAGGACUAGUAAUAGGGAUAUUGUAGUGUUGGUAACAGGGAUGUUGUAGUGUUGGUGGAGGUUAGGAGUAGUAACAGGGAUGUUGUAGUGUUGGUGGAGGUUAGGACUAGUAACAGGGAUGUUGUAGUGGUGUUUGUAGGUUAGGACUAGUAACAGGGAUGUUGUGGUGUUGGUAGAGGUUAGGACUAGUAACAGGGAUGUUGUAGUGUUGGUAGAGAUUAGGACUAGUCACAGGGAUGUUGUAGUGUUGGUGGAGGUUAGGACUAGUAACAGGGAUGUUGUGGUGUUGGUGGAGGUCAGGACUAGUAACAGGGAUGUUGUAGUGGUGGUCAGGACUAGUAACAGGGAUGUUGUAGUGGUGGUGGAGGUUAGGACUAGUAACAGGGAUGUUGUAGUGUUGGUGGAGGUCGGGACUAGUAGCAGGGAUGUUGUAGUGUUGGUGGAGGUCAGGACUAGUAACAGGGAUGUUGUAGUGUUGGUAGAGAUUAGGACUAGUAACAGGGAUGUUGGGGUGUUGGUGGAGGUUAGGACUAGUAACAGGGAUGUUGUAGUGUUGGUGGAGGUCAGGACUAGUAACAGGGAUGUGGUGGUGGAGGUCAGGACUAGUAACAGGGAUGUUGUAGUGGUGGUGGAGGUCAGGACUAGUAACAGGGAUGUUGUAGUAGGGAUGUUGUAGUGUUGGUGGAGGUCAGCUCUAGUAACAGGGAUGUUGUAGUGUUGGUGGAGGUUAGGAGUAGUAACAGGGAUGUUGUAGUGUUGGUGGAGGUCAGGACUAGUAACAGGGAUGUUGUAGUGUUGGUGGAGGUCAGGACUAGUAACAUGGAUGUUGUGGUGUAGGUUAGGACUAGUAACAGGGAUGUUGUAAUGUUGGUGUAGGUCGGGACUAGUAACAGGGAUGUUGUAGUGUUGGUGGAGGUCGGGACUAGUAACAGGGAUGUUGUAGUGUUGGUGGAGGUUAGGAGUAGUAACA
Molecule: long non-coding RNA, 1515 nt
Organism: Oncorhynchus tshawytscha (Chinook salmon)
Lineage: Eukaryota; Metazoa; Chordata; Actinopteri; Salmoniformes; Salmonidae
Source: Ensembl